RNAcentral lists this ribosomal RNA (377 nucleotides) under uncultured bacterium. RNAcentral's name for it is "bacterial SSU rRNA". It matches the Rfam family "Bacterial small subunit ribosomal RNA", at positions 523 to 898 of the family's 1533-position model. The record is from RNAcentral.
AUACGUAGGUGGCGAGCGUUGUCCGGAAUUACUGGGUGUAAAGGGCGUGUAGGCGGGGAUGCAAGUCAGAUGUGAAAUCCCGAGGCUCAACCUCGGAGCUGCAUCUGAAACUGUGUCUCUUGAGUGUCGGAGAGGAAAGCGGAAUUCCCAGUGUAGCGGUGAAAUGCGUAGAUAUUGGGAGGAACACCGGUGGCGAAGGCGGUUUUCUGGACGACAACUGACGCUGAGGCGCGAAAGCGUGGGGAGCAAACAGGAUUAGAUACCCUGGUAGUCCACGCCGUAAACGAUGGAUACUAGGUGUAGGAGGUAUCGACCCCUUCUGUGCCGGAGUUAACACAAUAAGUAUCCCACCUGGGGAGUACGGCCGCAAGGUUGAA